Molecule: ribosomal RNA, 254 nt
Filed under: uncultured bacterium
Lineage: Bacteria
Description: partial 16S ribosomal RNA
Rfam family: Bacterial small subunit ribosomal RNA
Source: RNAcentral
UACGUAGGGUGCGAGCGUUGUCCGGAAUUAUUGGGCGUAAAGAGCUCGUAGGCGGUGUGUCACGUCGUUCGUGAAAACCUGCAGCUUAACUGUGGGCGUGCGGUCGAUACGGGCAUCACUGGAGUUCGGCAGGGGAGACUGGAAUUCCUGGUGUAGCGGUGAAAUGCGCAGAUAUCAGGAGGAACACCUGCGGUGUAGACGGCUUACUGGACCAUCACUGACGCUGAGGCACGAAAGCGUGGGUAGCAAACAGG